Molecule: unclassified non-coding RNA, 580 nt
Filed under: Hevea brasiliensis (rubber tree)
Lineage: Eukaryota; Viridiplantae; Streptophyta; Magnoliopsida; Malpighiales; Euphorbiaceae
Source: RNAcentral
UUGUCUUCUCUCAGCAGGAGCCUGCACAUCCAAAACUUAUAAAAUUAAUAAUAUAGAAAAUAUAGUUGCACUAAGGGCACAUAAACGCUUACAUUCAAAUGACUACAGGUAUAUCCCAUCACAGAUGCAGAGGCAUGGUAGAAGAUAAAUUUGAACAUUAUAUGGUUAGAGCUUUAACUCUGCCUAUGUGUGCUUAGCAAAAUAGCCAGUCCCAAGUCCGGAUAAAGGAGGGUUGCAGUAGGUUGAUGACCAGCGUAAAAUUAAAUCAUCUCUUAUGACAUGGAUCCUUAUGAUCUAAUAGAACUGAAUGGCAAAGAAGGAUCAUAUAGCCGACCCCAACUUCUUUGGGAUUAAGGCUUAGUUGUUGCUGUUGUAUGGUUAGAGCUUUAAUUGAUGAACAAAAGAAUAGCUGGGACAAUACAUGAAAUGCAGUUUCACAUUUUAAUAGUUUACUCCAUAUUAUCUGUGAUCACUGAUCAUGGAUUAGGCAACAAUACCAGUGAUGGCUUGAUAUUCAUAUUUAAAAAUGAGCCAGCUGGAGUUGAAAUUCACUCAAUGAAAUUGAAAAUAAGUAAACAAU